This 298-nucleotide signal recognition particle RNA is filed under the name Oncorhynchus kisutch (coho salmon). Its description in RNAcentral is "Metazoan signal recognition particle RNA (ENSOKIG00005032787.1)". It matches the Rfam family "Metazoan signal recognition particle RNA". From Rfam's summary of the family: The signal recognition particle (SRP) is a universally conserved ribonucleoprotein. It is involved in the co-translational targeting of proteins to membranes. Lineage: Eukaryota; Metazoa; Chordata; Actinopteri; Salmoniformes; Salmonidae. The record is from Rfam by way of RNAcentral.
GCCGGGUGCGGUGGCAUGUGCCUGUAAUCCAAGUCACUGGGAGGCUGAGGUUGGUGGAUCAAGUGAGCUGAGGAGCUCUGGGCUGCAGCAUGCUAUGUGGAAUGGGUGUCCACGCUAAGUUCGGUAUUGAUAUGGUGUUCCUGGGGGAGCCCGGGACCACCAGGUUGUCUAAGGAGGGUGAACCGGCCCAGGUCGGAAACGAAGCAGGUCAAAUCCCCCGUGCUGUCCAGUAGUGGGAUAAUACCUGUGAGUAGAUGCUGCAGUGCAGCCUUGGCGAAACAUCGAGACCUAAUCUUUC